AUUGAACGCUGGCGGCAUGCUUUACACAUGCAAGUCGAACGGCAGCACGGGCUUCGGCCUGGUGGCGAGUGGCGAACGGGUGAGUAAUAUAUCGGAACGUACCCAGAAGUGGGGGAUAACGUAGCGAAAGUUACGCUAAUACCGCAUACGAUCUAUGGAUGAAAGCAGGGGACCGCAAGGCCUUGUGCUCCUGGAGCGGCCGAUAUCUGAUUAGCUAGUUGGUGAGGUAAAGGCUCACCAAGGCGACGAUCAGUAGCUGGUCUGAGAGGACGACCAGCCACACUGGAACUGAGACACGGUCCAGACUCCCACGGGAGGCAGCAGUGGGGAAUUUUGGACAAUGGGCGCAAGCCUGAUCCAGCAAUGCCGCGUGAGUGAAGAAGGCCUUCGGGUUGUAAAGCUCUUUUGUCAGGGAAGAAACGGUAGAGGCUAAUAUCCUGUGCUAAUGACGGUACCUGAAGAAUAAGCACCGGCUAACUACGUG
This 484-nucleotide ribosomal RNA is filed under the name uncultured bacterium. RNAcentral describes it as "partial 16S ribosomal RNA". It matches the Rfam family "Bacterial small subunit ribosomal RNA", at positions 30 to 507 of the family's 1533-position model. The record is from RNAcentral.